CCUACGGGAGGCAGCAGUGGGGAAUAUUGGGCAAUGGAGGCAACUCUGACCCAGCAACGCCGCGUGAAUGAUGAAGGUCUUCGGAUUGUAAAGCUCUGUGAUGGGGGAUGAACACAAUGACGGUACCCCAAUAGCAAGCCACGGCUAACUACGUGCCAGCAGCCGCGGCAAUACGUCGGUGGCAAGCGUUAUCCGGAAUGACUGGGCGUAAAGGGUGCGUAGGUGGUUGAGUAAGUUGGCGGGGUAAUUCCGGGGCUGAACCUCGGCGCUACCGCAAAAACUAUUAGACUAGAGUGCAGGAGAGGUAAGUGGAAUUCCUAGUGUAGCGGUGGAAUGCGUAGAUAUUAGGAGGAACAUCAGGGGCGAAGGCGACUUACUGGACUGUAACUGACACUGAGGCACGAAAGCGUGGGGAGCGAACAGGAUUAGAUACCCCAGUAGUC
RNAcentral lists this ribosomal RNA (443 nucleotides) under uncultured bacterium. Its description in RNAcentral is "partial 16S ribosomal RNA". It matches the Rfam family "Bacterial small subunit ribosomal RNA", at positions 338 to 795 of the family's 1533-position model. The record is from RNAcentral.